UCGGGCAUCGACCCAGGAAGAAUCAAUUUUAGACUUAUUGGUAAUCCAUGAUCAACUUCCUUUCGUAGUACCC
Molecule: transfer RNA, 73 nt
Filed under: Jaborosa kurtzii
Lineage: Eukaryota; Viridiplantae; Streptophyta; Magnoliopsida; Solanales; Solanaceae
Description: tRNA-Glu
Source: RNAcentral